Molecule: long non-coding RNA, 355 nt
Organism: Pseudophryne corroboree (corroboree frog)
Lineage: Eukaryota; Metazoa; Chordata; Amphibia; Anura; Myobatrachidae
Exons: 3
Source: RefSeq, a predicted model, not a curated record
UCCCCGCGUCCCUCAGGUGGAGCACAGGGAGCCACAGGGAGACUCAGCAACUGGUCCCGAAUCUCCUGCCCACAUCAGCUCCGGCUCAGUGGAUAGAUCAAGACCAUCGCCACUGCAAGGACAACACAGGGAAGGGAAGAGCGGAUGGGAGUGCCCAGCGUUGUGCGAUGUGUCGCAUGACAUCAUUCAUAAGUACGGGGAUCUAGACACGUGACCAGGGGGGUUACAGAUGGAAGGAGUUCUUUUCUUUCUAGAUUUUCAAUUUUCCUUUUAGCAUCAGACAGAACAUUAUGUGAACAUCCCUUUUCUUCAAACCUUGAUGACAUUUCUUCAAGUUGUAUUUGCAGGACAUCAU